This 451-nucleotide ribosomal RNA is filed under the name uncultured bacterium. RNAcentral describes it as "bacterial SSU rRNA". It matches the Rfam family "Bacterial small subunit ribosomal RNA", at positions 28 to 524 of the family's 1533-position model. The record is from RNAcentral.
GAUGAACGCUGGCGGUCUGCUUAACACAUGCAAGUCGAACGAACUCUUCGGAGUGAGUGGCGGACGGGUGAGUAACGCGUGAGAAUCUGCCUGUGGGUCGGGGACAACCACUGGAAACGGUGGCUAAUACCGGAUGAGCCGAGAGGUAAAACUUUUUAAGGCCUAUGGAGGAGCUCGCGGCUGAUUAGCUAGUUGGUGGGGUAAGGGCCUACCAAGGCAUUGAUCAGUAGCUGGUCUGAGAGGAUGAUCAGCCACACUGGGACUGAGACACGGCCCAGACUCCUACGGGAGGCAGCAGUGGGAAUUUUCCGCAAUGGGGGCAACCCUGACGGAGCAACGCCGCGUGAGGGAAGAAGGUUUUUGGAUCGUAAACCCCUUUUGUCAAGGAAGAAGCUCUGACGGUACUUGACGAAUAAGCCUCGGCUAACUCCGUGCCAGCCGCCGCGGUAAU